Molecule: ribosomal RNA, 1011 nt
Filed under: Triticum aestivum (bread wheat)
Lineage: Eukaryota; Viridiplantae; Streptophyta; Magnoliopsida; Poales; Poaceae
Description: partial small subunit ribosomal RNA
Source: RNAcentral
AUGAUCAUCUUGCAUUCCGAGUUAUUCCUUACAUUAUGUAUCCUAUGUCGGAAUUUUAUCAUUCUGACUAAAUCAUUGUCUUGUUUAUCUAGGAUGGUCAACACGCGCGCUAACCCUGCUUCCCAAGAGCAGGCCGAAGGCAGUGAAGCCAGGGAUGCAAAUCUGCCUCAUCCUCCUUCACUAGCCGAGGUUAUGAUGGAAGCUGAGAGAAACAAGCGGGAGACGAACCGUUUGUUGGAGCGUAUUGAACAGAAUACAGCACACCAUCAGAGGGCUAACGUGGUGUCACUCAGUGAUUUUAUCAAAUUGCAUCCACCCACGUUCCACCACUCCGUUGAGCCUCUCAACGCUGAUGACUGGCUUCGCAGUAUCUCUCACAAGCUGCGUUCCGCGCUAGUAGCUGAGGCUGACAAGGUCACCUUUGCUGCAUAUCAUCUUGAAGGCCCCGCCAGUCUAUGGUGGGAGAAUUAUGGAGCUAUGCGCCCAGCGGGCCAUGUCACCACUUGGGCUGAGUUCAGCGAGGCUUUCCGUGAACAUUACAUUCCGGAGGGUCUCAUGGACCGUAAACGUGAAGAAUUUUGCAGUUUCACCCAAGGCCGACUUUCUGUGGAUGCCUAUAGCAGAGAGUUUGGUAAUCUCGCCCGAUAUGCAACUGAGGAAGUGUCUACCGACGCCAAGAAGCAAGCAAGGUUCCGUAAGGGCCUUAGUCCUGAGCUUCGCCGCGACCUCCGUCUGCAUGAGUGCACAUCUUUUUCGAAACUUGUCAACAAAGCCAUCAGUGCUGAAACUGGUCAGACUGACUAUGACGCAACACGCAAGCAUGGACGUGACAUGGGUUCCUCAUCCGGUGCUGGUCCUCAGAAGCACCGCGUGUGGGUACCCAACACCGCCCUGCCACCCAGGUUCACACCGAGGCCAUCCUUCCAGGCGCCUCGCCCUGUUCAACAGUCUGCACCGGCCAAGCCUAUGGGGGUCCAACCAAUAAUGCUCCUCCACGUACCAGUUCCGUGA